AUGCAAGGAGGAGAGACCCAAGAAAGUACCCAUAUAGCUGUGUACCCUGCCCUGAGUUCCGCAAAGGGUCGUGCCAGAAGGGAGAUGUCUGUGAGUAUGCUCAUGGUGUUUUUGAGUCCUGGCUUCAUCCUGCCCAAUAUCGAACCCGGCUUUGCAAGGAUGAAACAGGGUGCACAAGGAAAGUGUGCUUCUUUGCUCACAGACCUGAAGAAUUACGCCCAGUGUAUGCUUCCACGGGUUCAGCCAUGCCUUCACCAAGGUCUAUGUCAGUGAGCGCCGCAGAUAUGGCCAGCCCAUUAGCUCUUGGUUCAUCACCUAUGUCUCAGCCUACCACGUCCACACCGCCCAUGUCUCCAUUGGCAACCU
RNAcentral lists this long non-coding RNA (366 nucleotides) under Prunus persica (peach). RNAcentral's name for it is "long non-coding RNA (PPER_LNC002819)". Lineage: Eukaryota; Viridiplantae; Streptophyta; Magnoliopsida; Rosales; Rosaceae. The record is from RNAcentral.